AAUCUCACCAGCUCAGUCUUAAGCCCAGGCAGAGAAGUAGCAGUAAAGGUGGUGAGCUGUUAUGGGGUGCUGCAGGAAACAGCCCCACGCCAGGGCAGGGGGAGCCAUGAUGCGCUGGAGAGGAAGCCCUACUGAUACGGACAGAUUGGAUUCAGCUGCACUUAGCUUACCCCAACGGGAAUGUGCCCUGCCCAGGGCAGGGAGCUGUUCUUCAUGCAGCGCAAAGACAGGUGACAGAUGCGAGUAUCCGUGGCUCCGGACAUGUCUGGAAGGCACUCCGAUGUUGCAGGAGGCUGGAACUUGUCCUUCUUCAGCUGCUCACCACAAGCCUCAACGCCAUUCAUGGAAAAGACGGCGUUAGCGAGUGACUACUUGCUUUGUCGCUCGGAGCCAAACGGAUAUUCCACCAGCUCCCAGUCAGAGCCAUGGUGGUGCCCAUCUCCCUUUGUCUCCUGCCCGUCUACCUACCUCACAGAGGCUUUGUAGCCUCCUGGAAAAGAAUGCUUUACAAAUCCUACAGACGGCCCUGAGCAGACAAUCUCGCUGCACAAGGGAACGCUCUGGGGGAAAGGAGAAUUGCAACCUGCAGCCAUCAAAUGGGUUUCCAUUGGCUAUAUCAGGGGUAGGCAACCUAUGGCACGCGUGCCGAAGGCGGCACGCAAG
RNAcentral lists this long non-coding RNA (663 nucleotides) under Chrysemys picta bellii (western painted turtle). RNAcentral's name for it is "lncRNA (ENSCPBG00000002573.1)". Lineage: Eukaryota; Metazoa; Chordata; Testudines; Emydidae. The record is from RNAcentral.